Long non-coding RNA from Pelmatolapia mariae (spotted tilapia), 2647 nucleotides. RefSeq lists it as uncharacterized. The record is from RefSeq and is a predicted model, not a curated record. The transcript is spliced from 8 exons. NCBI's taxonomy places the organism in Eukaryota, Metazoa, Chordata, Actinopteri, Cichliformes, Cichlidae.
AGAGGUGGACUGUGAGCACAGAAACACAUGUUCAUACAUACAGCUGUAGCAAGCUUACAUUAAUUUUAAAUAGAUUUGUUACUCUGAUGUCUGUCUCUCUGUUAGUCCUCUGACAGACUGGUACCUGUCCAGGUGUGCUCUACCUGUGACUACUGGGACAGGCUCUGGCUCCUGUAAUAGAAAUUUUCUAUUAUUCUCAUUUAAAGUAUUUAAGUGCUUAUGCAUAUGCUUAGUUGUGACACUGUUAUAGACUGUUCAGUGAAAGUUUCUAAAACUAGAUGAACUUACUUCAGCAUCAGCAGUUUGAGAAAACAACUCCCUUUACAGGUGCUGAUAAGGCCAAGGGCACAAAACAGCAUAACCAUUGAUCCGUUAGGUUUCAUAGCGAGGCGCGUGAAGUGUGGUAUGAUCAGUUUGUAACUUCCUCCCUCUUCCUUGGAAUGCAUAAAGGAGUAGGAGCACGACUUCUGUGGCAGAGCUGACAUGACUGUGAUGUUUGAUGUGUGUUGGCUCUCCUGCGCGCAGUAAUAAAUAGCUUGAUCACAGCUCUUUCUGUGUUGCAGACUUUAUUUACAAACUUCCACGAUACCCCCCACCCUCCCACUGUGAACAUGAAUUGAAUAUUCAGAAGAAAAUGAAUGGAUAGACUGACAUUUGUUUAAAUACUUCUAGAAAUCUGAGCUGUUGGUGUGGUAAUAAUAUUAGAGCUAGCAAUCUUUCUCACUGAAUCUCUACUGUGAGUCAUGUUACCUGGGAUUAAUUCUAUGUUUACCUGACAGCCUGGACAAAUGCGCUCUGUGAAGGAUGUAAAUCAAAUCAGAUUUUAACUGCUUACAUUUAAGGAGCCUGUUCAUAUUUAAUUAACAGUUCGCCACAGUCGCUGUCCACAUGGGUCAGUGGGACCAAGCAGCACUCUGCCAAUGUGUGGACUCUGACCAGCAACAUCCAGCAAGACCCAGGCAGCGUUUUCUAUCUCCCAGCUGGAGUUUUUUGUUUGUCUGUGACUGGAGAGUCAGAUUUUUGUUGAAGCUGGAGGAACAGCCUCACACUCGCAGAGGUUAAUACAUGCUACUGAUCCCUGAUGGGAGAAUCAUCACCUCUGCCAACAAAGAAGCCUGGUGGAUGUUUGUUUGCAGUCUAAUGAUGGGACCUCAUGCUCUGCAUCUUCAAAGUUUGUCUCUUGAUUAUUAUUCAUACACAGUAAUGUGAAUUAUGCUUAUAUCUAGUAUAACUGGACCAACCUGGUGCUCUUCAUUUAUAGAGGCUGUUGAGUCUGAAUGUUGGAUGUUGUGUAUCUCUUGUUCUCUGGGCUUUGUUGUCCUCAGUCUUUUUGCAGGAUCAGAAAACAAAACCAGGAUGACCGUAAAUGUUUCUUCUCCAAUUGGAUGAUGAUAAGACCGUGACACGGGAUGCCCCCUUUAGUCUUGUGAUGAAGCAAAGCUCAGGACGAAGUGUGAUUAAAUGGUACCCACAUGUGUGCUGCUGAGAAGGAUGUACAAGGGCACCUGCAGCCAAAUCCAAGCCUCCUCAGCAACUUCAAGUCUGUCAGCGUGCUGAGGUCACAGAAACAAGAAAAGAAGCUUCAGACUUCAGAGUGUUGUUUACAGUUUUCUGUCAUCAUGAUCUCCCCUGAAGUUUAUCACUGUGAGCCAAGCAAGCAGAGCGGCAGUUUGUGCUCACAGAUGGAGACGGUGUGGAGAGACGGUGGUGUUUCCUCAGAAGAACUAGCAGAGUCACAAAGAGCACCAGUCCAUCUCACCACCUUGACUUGCUGACUUAUGCUCGUCUGCACUGCACAGAGGAAAUCAACUGACCGAGGAGUGUUUCUGGGUGAGGGAGAGAGGAGUCAUCAUCCAGGUAAAGUGACGUGGAUCAGUGGACACACUUGUCUCCCCUUUAAAGGAGAUACUCUUAGAGAGAGACGAUCCGAGUCAUCCCUAAAUAUGGGCAGGAUGUCAGUCUUGGACUGUGUAACCUGCCGGAGCAGCACUGAAUGACCACCACACAUGAGCAUGUUCCUGCAACAUUCAGCAGCUUUGCUUUUGUGUCAAAUGUCAACCAGCUGGAGAGGAAACUACACCAGUGUACUGGGAUGUUUCACCAACACGUGCCAGAUGCUGUUCCUUCAUGGUGACAUCACCAGAGACAGCCCCGCCCACCUCAGGACCUCGCCAUUGAUCAUGAUGAUUAUAAUAAUGACAGCGAGCGGAACUAAGACUGUACAAAUCCAUGACCAGAAUGUUUAGAUGCUUUCUAAUUAUUAAUGAAUACUGAGAGCCUCUUUCUGUGUUUUGUCUGUUUUGGGUUGUUUUUUUUACCUCAUUUGUUACUAACAAAGUUCAUCAAACUCACACAGUUUACAUUCUGUAUGUUUCCAUCUUUACCAGCCACAGUCUACCUGCAUUUAGAAAACAAACCUUAGAAAUCGUCGUUUUUCUCUUUUGUAAUUUUGUAAUUCAGUGAAUAUACUGCGCUGCUUCCUUUUAUUGCAUCACACAUUGCUUUAAGUUUUUCAGUGUCCAGUUAUUUUUUACUGCUGUUUGAAUUCACUGUAUGUUUGACCCUGUAGACUGUUUAAUGGACUGCUUGUCUUCCUGUUUGUAACCGACGCCUGUUUUUGACUAAAGAUUUGGAUUUCUGACUUUAA